RNAcentral lists this long non-coding RNA (5878 nucleotides) under Apis dorsata (giant honeybee). RNAcentral's name for it is "uncharacterized LOC102672688, transcript variant X1". The record is from RNAcentral. Lineage: Eukaryota; Metazoa; Arthropoda; Insecta; Hymenoptera; Apidae.
AUUAUUAAUCUAUUAUUAUUUUUAUUAUUAUUAUUAUUAUUAUUAUUAUUAACUAUUAUAACACAUGCAGAGAGAGUAGGAGAUGUUGAGAGAGAAUACAUGUUUACACACUAUUCUGUAUAUAUAUACGUAUAUAUACAUCUUUUUAUAUAUAUGUAUAUAUAUAUAUAUUCCAAAUAUAUAUAUAUAUAUGCUAUCUAUAUUAUUCAUUGCAACAUAUAUGUAUGUACACGCACUCGUAUGUCUGCUCGUGUAAAUGUAUAUCUUUAAAAGCAGAAGGAUAAAAUAUAUCGAUAUAGGGGCGUACGUAUUUUUUUUUUAAAGGUAUAUACAUUUUGCAUGCACGACCACUCGUGCACGCGUAAUGUCAAUAUAUUAACGUCUAUGUAUACCACAUAUACAUACACUUCCGUACACUAUACACUAAUUUUCUUCAAAUUUCUUUUCUUUCGUUUAUAUUUCUUGAUUUUUUCUUUCGAAAAGUGGGUGUUUAAAAAGAAAAAGGAGAGUAAAACAUAAAGGGUGGGUGAUAAAAUAAUUCAAUCGAGUUAUUGCUCGCAUUUCGCGAUUAAAGAAAAGAAAUAAAUUAAAGAGUUGUUAAUCAUGAAUAAAAAAGAGUGGGAAGGGAAUUGUGGGAGAGAGAAAACGUGUACGGUAGGGUGAGAGUGAAAGAAAAAAAUGUACGAAUGAGAUAGAGGGUAAUUAUAUAGUCUAAAAAUUAGGGAGAUAGGUAUUUUUUUUUUUUUAUUAUCCGAAUAAAUUAUAAUCAAAAGAAUCAUCUUUUUCGAAUGAAUUUAUGUCUCGAUAUAACGAAUAGAUUUUCAUUUUUUUGUACAGAUAUAUUUAAUCAAUUUGUGUAUCGAUAUCUUAACGAUAGUUUUUCUUUUUUUUUUUUUUUUUUCUUUUAGCUUUUAGUUCAUUUUAUAAUUAAACUAUUUUUUUGAGACUGAACGUAAUCGUAUCUCCCUAAAAUCGAUAUUUACGUGAUAUGUGGUACGCAUCGUUCAACUGGAUAAUAUCCAAUCGGAUAAUGAUUAUUCAACCGUAUGGAGCAUUAAUCGAUUUGUCAUCGUUGCGUUAAUGAACUACGAUGCCGAUUCAUUGAGAUACAAUACUUGAAAAUACGUAUAUAUGUGUAUGUAUACAUGCGCAGCAUUGUUUAUGAACAUGGGGAUCAUCAAUUUUGCAUGCAUAGUUCAAAGUUGAUAAGCAAAGUUCGGCAAACGCUACAUAUAGAAGGAUGUAUGAUUUUUUUGUGUAAUUUGGUAUUUUUUCUUGCCAUUAUUUUCGUUAUCAUUGCUUUUAUUAUUAUUAUACUUCUUAAUUUCUACUCCAUGAUCAGUUCGUAUCGCUAAUGUCUCUUCUAUACUUUUACUUUAAUCAUUAUUAUUCAUUUGUUGCAAUAUUUUAACCAUUCUGUUACGUAUUUUUACUUUUCUUGCUCUGCCACUAUUUUUCUAAAACAGGAGUUAUAUAUUUUAGGCAUUAAAAACUAAAAUUUCGUGACAGUAAAUUCGAAAGAUUAAUUCUCGAGGAAAUAAAUCGUUCCUCGUCACAUUUGCAUUCGCACGAUCGCCACGUUCUUCUGAAUAUCGUAUCAUUUACUUCCCCGUAAAGUGAUAAGUCGAGGGUCAUUAGAAUAGUCGUAAAAUCAUGUUAACAAAACUCGAGUUGUUAGCAGACAAUGGGGCGAUUUUCACGCAAAUUUUCUUUAUUCUCGAAUGUCACACGAUGAAAAAGUUGCUAGCAAUUUCUUUAAUCAACCACCGUUUCGACACGAUUUUACUCGCAGGCGUCAAUCUCUUUAGGAUACUUCUUAGAGUUAAAAGAAAAGGAAAAAAAAAAAAAAAUGAAACGCGGGAAGAUACGCGCGUGCGCGAGAUAGAUGGAAAGUGAAACAAACUGAACAUGGUUUUUAAUCGUCCGUAGGGAUUUGUCGAAUAUACCUCAUUGUAAUUAAUAAACCGUGAUUUUUCAACGAGGCACCAACUGCUUCUUCUUUGUUCCUGGAGUUCCUAAACGUGUCGGUCCUUUCGUAAAUAAGUCGGUCCUUUGCUCGUUAGCUGAUAUCACAGGCAACCAGGUAGUCGAUUCUCAUCGACAUUAAGUUACGUGUUAGAUACUUAAAUCGUAUUAUUGCCCUAAUCAUGUAAAAAGAAUUUAUUAUUAUCCGCUAAGGGGUUAACGUGUUAAUGGAGGUUUUUCACGCUAUAGUUAAGCACAUACACACGCAUACACAAAUCGUGCGCAUCCAUUCGACAACCCUUUCUAUGAUACUGAUACUUCUGCGAUCGUGAGUUACUAAACGAAUCAAAAAAAGGAAUUAAUCUAAUAGCGUAUAGCAAUUUUGUAUAACGGUCGAAUUUAAAGUUUUAAUCGGUCCACAGAUCAUUAACGCUUAACGUCCAUUUCUCAGAUCACGCGUAGUUGUAUUGUAGGUUUAGCCUUCUUUCUUAUUUUCUCCUUAUUUUUCUUUUUUCUUUUUUAAAUUUUAAGUCAUCUGAGAGAUCGAUGUUACGGGUUAAGGACAGGACGUUUCACGACUGAAAUUUUGAACGAUUUAAAAAAAAAAAAAAAAAAAAAAAAAAAAAAAAAAAAGAAAAAAGAAAAAAAAAAUCACGUUUCGCCUUGAUCUUUCACUCAUUGUUUGCAGUAUCGGCCGUUCGCGCGGCAAAUUGUUUAAAGAAACGGCGAGGAUCUUAACCGUAGCUCACGUUUCACAACCGUUCAUUUUUUAAAUAAGUCAACCUCUAAGCUAUUCGGGACCCGAAAGAAACAAUUUUCAAUUAAGUAAUAGUUAAUUAAUAAUCGUAAUUAUUCAUAGAGAUAUCGUGGACGGGCAGAAGUACAACGUAAGAAAACGACUGAAUCGAAGGGGUUGAAAAUCGGAUGCGAAGAGGAAUGAUAGAUGAAUAGAAGGUUGGUGUAGAACUUUUCGAUUAAGAAAGAACCAUGAACGAAGCCUUACAACCAACAAAAAAAAAAAAUAAUAAUAAUAAUAAAAAAACGAUACUCUUUUACUCUUUGUAUAGAAAUCUACUGGUUAAAUAUAUAUUUAGACGGUACGUCCACACGCAAAUCAGAAAUACAAAACUUGUUAGAUUGUUAUUACGGAUAUUAAUCGAUUAAUUGAUUAAUUAAUUAAGGGAUUUAACGUAAUGGUUAAUUAAACGAGUACAACCUCGUUCUCGAGUUGGUACGCAGACGUAUCUUUGUAUGUAUCAAAAUGAAUUAUUCGUGUCGGAAUAAGUUCACCCUUGCAUUUAGCAUUCGCCGUGGCGUGAAUGUCGCCAAAAAUGAUGAACGUGACUAUCGUGCGACGAGAAUAUCGACGAUAUUUAAAUAAAUGUCCGUAAAUGUGACGGGAUCGAAGACUUUUUUCUUUUCUUUUUUAGGGAAUAGACAUACACGAUUCAUCGAAACACAGAUCUCGAAUAAAGAAAGAAGAUGGAAAUACGAUGUGUAAAAUUUAAUUAGAUCAGAUUUAUUCUUAUUAGAGAGACAAGUUAAUAAUACAACGUACCCGAAGUUCGACUAUAUAAAAAUCGACGUACGAAUCGAGAUUCGGUAAACACGAUAGUAUUUAACGAGUCCUAUAUUGCGCAUGCACUAAUACUUUUAUCAUAGAAUUAACUGUUUGUACUUUAACGAGUAAUAUUUAAUAAUAUCUCGAUGUGCAUCUAUCAUAUACGUACGUGUACGAAUAGAAAAGAAAAAAAGAAGAAGAAGGAAGGAGGAGUCGCGAACAUGAAUAAGAAGUCGCGUAUAUAUAAUUGAUGAUAACAUGAAAAAUCGACCAGAAAUAUAUCAGGGCUGGCUGGUGGUUGGAACGAAUUUUCGAUAACUUCGUAUUAUAAAUCCGUGUUCAAGAUUCCUUAUAUUUUAUUUGCUAAGAUUAAUUAAUUUUAAUGAUGAAAAUUAGUUGUUCAAUGAUAUAUAUGUAUAUAUAUAUAUAUAUAUAUAGUUGUUAUAUCCUGAGUCAUGACUGAAUUUUAAGAAGAGUAACUAGUUUGAAAAAAAUAAAGGCUGAAACGAAUGAAAUUGAUUUUGCUCAUUCCAAGAAUGUCGAGUCCCCUGAAACGGUCCUAAUAAGACUGAAAAACUCUUGGACAAAAAUGAAAAAUAAUCAAAAAAUUAAAAAAAAAGAAAAGAAAAAAAAGAAAAAGAAGAUAUAAAAGAAUAUCAUACGUGAAAUAAAUAAAUAGUAAAUAAUGUGUUGUAUCGUAAAUCGAUUCUAUGGUAAGUCUUAAGUUUCGUGUUAAAAAAAAAACAAAAAAAAAAAAAANNNNNNNNNNNNNNCUCUUUGCUUAUUUAAUCGUUACGGUACUUUUUCGCUGAGCAAAAUACGUCCAACGACCACUGCCCUUUAAAAGGAAAAAAAAGUUUAAGCAAAGAGAGGACCCUUUUUCGCGUAGAUUAAAAAAAAAACCCUUUGAUCAAAAUUCUCCGAAUGUAUAUCAAAGAAAAUGGAGGGCAAGGGUUCUUCGCAUCCAAGAGGAUGAAAGAAGAAGGAAAAGAAAAUAAGAAGGGAGGAUCGUGAAUCAAUGUUUCUUAAAUGAGAAGAAAAACGCUUCUGCUUUUUAUUCUACGAACGAUAUAUCGAUUUGGAAAUAUUGUCGUGUCACUUUAGGCUUAGGUUUAUUAACAAGGUGGUGAAACAAAAGGGAGGGAGGGAGGGAGAGAUAAAAGUUUGAGAUGAAACUAGAUAAAAAAAGAUAAAAAAAGUGUCAAAGUACUGCUACGAUUUAUCAAACUAUUUACUAUUUACGACUAGUAACACUUAAAUAAACGAGGAACUGUACUGUUAUUGUUAUUAUUUUUUAUUGUAAUUAAUUAAUUAUCAUGGAUUACAAGCAAUGGCUUUACUAUUUUCUCGAAUAAAUAUCUAUAUCUACAGCUUCUCGAGCGCGUAUCAGCGUAGUUUAAGUUUAUAUGAGAAAAAAGAGAGAGAGAGAGAGAGAGAGAGAGAGUCUUGCGUUUAAUUGAUUAUCUAAUAGUGAGAAUGAAAGAAGGAAACGAGGAAUUUUCAGAAAAUGAGAUGUCGAGAGAGGUAGGAAUUGAGAGAGCGAAUAAGCGAAUGAGAGAAGUAAUUUAAUAGAUGUUCUAAGAAAGAAAGGGAAUGAACGAACGGGGGAACGAAUCAUUUUGAAAGAGAGAGAGAGAGAGAAAGAGAGAGAGAGAAAAUGUGGACAAAUCAGAGAUGUAAAAAAAAAAAAGAAAGAAAGAAAGAAAGAGAAGAUGAAGAAUAAGACGGACUUACUAACGUAACAAAUAGGAGAAGACAGACGGGUAGUUAAGAUAAAUAAGAGUUUUAGUAAUGAAUUUAAACAGAGAAUUAUUAUAUUUAACGCGCGAGGUGCUGAUGACGACCGAGACCCGUGCACAUUACACAUAAACUCCUCGAAAUAUUAAUUAGAGAUGGAUGCCGUUUUUAAGAUUAUUAUCGACUAUCAUGUUUAUUAUAUUAAAUAAUAGUUAAAGGCUAUCUAACGUUUAACGGUCUAGUUUACUUGAUAAAGGAUUAAAGGGAUUAAACUUUACCUCCGCCUAAGGAUUAGAUUGUAUGAGUCGAUUAAAGAAAAUAAUAAGAAAGAAAAAAAAAAAAUCAUAAGACAAAAAAUAGUAGCUGAUUAAGAGCGAAACGAAAAUAAGCUAAGUAACUAAUGAAAUAGAAUUUCACGGGGAGGGGGGUUGAUCGAUAAAUACUCGAAAGUACACCAAAAGUGCUACCAGGGGAACGGGAAUCGAUUAUUCGAGAUAUAAGGAAUCGUGUUAUAGUCCUAAGAAAGAAGAACAGACAAUUUGUUUCGUCUUCUAAGUUUUUUAUCGUCUCGCAGAGACAAGAUUUAUAUAUUUCUAUUCCUCUUCGAUUCUUUUU